Molecule: ribosomal RNA, 1527 nt
Filed under: Enterobacter cloacae
Lineage: Bacteria; Pseudomonadati; Pseudomonadota; Gammaproteobacteria; Enterobacterales; Enterobacteriaceae
Description: bacterial SSU rRNA
Rfam family: Bacterial small subunit ribosomal RNA
Source: RNAcentral
AGAGUUUGAUCAUGGCUCAGAUUGAACGCUGGCGGCAGGCCUAACACAUGCAAGUCGAACGGUAGCACAGAGAGCUUGCUCUCGGGUGACGAGUGGCGGACGGGUGAGUAAUGUCUGGGAAACUGCCUGAUGGAGGGGGAUAACUACUGGAAACGGUAGCUAAUACCGCAUAACGUCGCAAGACCAAAGAGGGGGACCUUCGGGCCUCUUGCCAUCAGAUGUGCCAGAUGGGAUUAGCUAGUAGGUGGGGUAACGGCUCACCUAGGCGACGAUCCCUAGCUGGUCUGAGAGGAUGACCAGCCACACUGGAACUGAGACACGGUCCAGACUCCUACGGGAGGCAGCAGUGGGGAAUAUUGCACAAUGGGCGCAAGCCUGAUGCAGCCAUGCCGCGUGUAUGAAGAAGGCCUUCGGGUUGUAAAGUACUUUCAGCGGGGAGGAAGGUGUUGUGGUUAAUAACCGCAGCAAUUGACGUUACCCGCAGAAGAAGCACCGGCUAACUCCGUGCCAGCAGCCGCGGUAAUACGGAGGGUGCAAGCGUUAAUCGGAAUUACUGGGCGUAAAGCGCACGCAGGCGGUCUGUCAAGUCGGAUGUGAAAUCCCCGGGCUCAACCUGGGAACUGCAUUCGAAACUGGCAGGCUAGAGUCUUGUAGAGGGGGGUAGAAUUCCAGGUGUAGCGGUGAAAUGCGUAGAGAUCUGGAGGAAUACCGGUGGCGAAGGCGGCCCCCUGGACAAAGACUGACGCUCAGGUGCGAAAGCGUGGGGAGCAAACAGGAUUAGAUACCCUGGUAGUCCACGCCGUAAACGAUGUCGAUUUGGAGGUUGUGCCCUUGAGGCGUGGCUUCCGGAGCUAACGCGUUAAAUCGACCGCCUGGGGAGUACGGCCGCAAGGUUAAAACUCAAAUGAAUUGACGGGGGCCCGCACAAGCGGUGGAGCAUGUGGUUUAAUUCGAUGCAACGCGAAGAACCUUACCUGGUCUUGACAUCCACAGAACUUUCCAGAGAUGGAUUGGUGCCUUCGGGAACUGUGAGACAGGUGCUGCAUGGCUGUCGUCAGCUCGUGUUGUGAAAUGUUGGGUUAAGUCCCGCAACGAGCGCAACCCUUAUCCUUUGUUGCCAGCGGUCCGGCCGGGAACUCAAAGGAGACUGCCAGUGAUAAACUGGAGGAAGGUGGGGAUGACGUCAAGUCAUCAUGGCCCUUACGACCAGGGCUACACACGUGCUACAAUGGCGCAUACAAAGAGAAGCGACCUCGCGAGAGCAAGCGGACCUCAUAAAGUGCGUCGUAGUCCGGAUUGGAGUCUGCAACUCGACUCCAUGAAGUCGGAAUCGCUAGUAAUCGUAGAUCAGAAUGCUACGGUGAAUACGUUCCCGGGCCUUGUACACACCGCCCGUCACACCAUGGGAGUGGGUUGCAAAAGAAGUAGGUAGCUUAACCUUCGGGAGGGCGCUUACCACUUUGUGAUUCAUGACUGGGGUGAAGUCGUAACAAGGUAACCGUAGGGGAACCUGCGGUUGGAUCACCU